GAUGAACGCUAGCUACAGGCUUAACACAUGCAAGUCGCGGGGCAGCAUGGGGGUUGCUUGCAAUCCCCGAUGGCGACCGGCGCACGGGUGAGUAACGCGUAUCCAACCUGCCCUUCACCACGGGAUAACCCGGCGAAAGUCGGACUAAUACCGUAUGUUGUCCAUUGACGGCAUCCGAUUUGGACGAAAGGUUUGGCGGUGAAGGAUGGGGAUGCGCCCGAUUAGCUGGACGGCGGGGUGACGGCCCACCGUGGCGACGAUCGGUAGGGGUUCUGAGAGGAAGGUCCCCCACACUGGAACUGAGACACGGUCCAGACUCCUACGGGAGGCAGCAGUGAGGAAUAUUGGUCAAUGGGCGUAAGCCUGAACCAGCCAAGUAGCGUGCAGGAUGACGGCCCUAUGGGUUGUAAACUGCUUUUAUGCGGGGAUAAAGUGGCCCACGUGUGGGUUUUUGCAGGUACCGCAUGAAUAAGGACCGGCUAAUUCCGUG
Molecule: ribosomal RNA, 490 nt
Filed under: uncultured bacterium
Lineage: Bacteria
Description: partial 16S ribosomal RNA
Rfam family: Bacterial small subunit ribosomal RNA
Source: RNAcentral